RNAcentral lists this ribosomal RNA (728 nucleotides) under uncultured bacterium. Its description in RNAcentral is "bacterial SSU rRNA". It matches the Rfam family "Bacterial small subunit ribosomal RNA", at positions 99 to 910 of the family's 1533-position model. The record is from RNAcentral.
CGAACGGGUGAGUAAUACAUAGGUAACCUGCCCCUGUGCGGGGGAUAACAGGAGGAAACUCCUGCUAAUACCGCAUACGCAGGGAUGGACCUAUGGCGCAUUAGCUGGUUGGCGGGGCAACGGCCCACCAAGGCAACGAUGCGUAGCCGGCCUGAGAGGGCGGACGGCCACAUUGGGACUGAGACACGGCCCAGACUCCUACGGGAGGCAGCAGUAGGGAAUUUUCGGCAAUGGGGGAAACCCUGACCGAGCAACGCCGCGUGAGCGAAGAAGGCCUUCGGGUCGUAAAGCUCUGUUGUAAAGGAAGCGGUACUUUACCAGAAAGCCACGGCUAACUCGUGCCAGCAGCCGCGGUAAUACGUAGGUGGCGAGCGUUAUCCGGAAUCAUUGGGCGUAAAGAGGGAGCAGGCGGCCGCAAGGGUCUGUGGUGAAAGACCGAAGCUAAACUUCGGUAAGCCAUGGAAACCGGGCGGCUAGAGUGCGGAAGAGGAUCGUGGAAUUCCAUGUGUAGCGGUGAAAUGCGUAGAUAUAUGGAGGAACACCAGUGGCGAAGCGACGGUCUGGGCCGCAACUGACGCUCAUUCCCGAAAGCGUGGGGAGCAAAUAGGAUUAGAUACCCUAGUAGUCCACGCCGUAAACGAUGAUACUAGGUGUCGGGCGGUGCCGCAGCAAACGCAAUAAGUAUUCCACCUGGGGAGUACGUUCGCAAGAAUGCAACUCAAAUGAAU